This 163-nucleotide small nuclear RNA is filed under the name Pogona vitticeps (central bearded dragon). RNAcentral describes it as "U1 spliceosomal RNA (ENSPVIG00000000794.1)". It matches the Rfam family "U1 spliceosomal RNA". Rfam says of the family: U1 is a small nuclear RNA (snRNA) component of the spliceosome (involved in pre-mRNA splicing). Lineage: Eukaryota; Metazoa; Chordata; Lepidosauria; Squamata; Agamidae. The record is from Rfam by way of RNAcentral.
ACUCAUACCUGGCAGGGGAGAUACCAUGAUAUAAAAGUGGUUUUCCCAGAGUAAGUGUCAUCCAUUGCACUUUGGAUGUGCUGAUCCCUGUGAUUUCCCCAAAUGUGGGAAAAUCAACUACAUAAUUUGUGGUAGUGGGCGACUGUGUUUGUUGUUUUCCCUA